RNAcentral lists this transfer RNA (64 nucleotides) under Tylorrhynchus heterochetus (Japanese palolo). RNAcentral's name for it is "tRNA-Thr". The record is from RNAcentral. Lineage: Eukaryota; Metazoa; Annelida; Polychaeta; Phyllodocida; Nereididae.
GUACAUAAAGCUGCCUCUAGCGCUGGUCUUGUAAACCAGAGGUUGAAAGAAUUUUCUAUGUGCA